This is an RNA transcript of Syngnathoides biaculeatus (alligator pipefish), 2255 nucleotides long. It is a transcript of the gene named keratinocyte differentiation factor 1a, with no coding region annotated. The record is from RefSeq and is a predicted model, not a curated record. NCBI's taxonomy places the organism in Eukaryota, Metazoa, Chordata, Actinopteri, Syngnathiformes, Syngnathidae. The transcript is spliced from 5 exons.
GAAACAAAAAAAAAAAAAAGGCAGCCAGGAAUUAGCCGUAACCGCCGCUAGCAGACGUACACUGGACGACAACAAGAUUAGUGCAACCGAAAGGACACAGCGCCAAUGAGUCCACUUCUGAUUUUACGCAGAGGAGCUGCUUUUUGUUUCGUUCGAGUUCGUUUUUUGGCGAGAGCAAAGUCACCUUUAUCAUUUUUUUGUCUGCGGUAAACGAGAGCGUAGAUAACUUUUUUUUUUUUUUUCCCCCUCUUCGACUUCCGACCUUGGCUCCCCCCCAUCAAGUCAUUUGGGUCGCGACUUAAACUCAACUGAAUACUCUUAUGCGGUCAGCGGGGUUCUGAGCCAUGCCUGGCCACAGCACCGGGGCCCCGCAGGCAUCCCGCCACCACCACCACCACCCCAAACGUCACACCUCCAGAGCCGACAAGUACAGUCAGGCCCCAGCUAUAUUCAGGGAAAACAAAACCAGCCACGACUCCUAUAAGGAUCCCUACAAGCAGCAGCAGCACCAUCAUAACGACCGCUCCCGCUACUCUGAGAGCAGACGCGGUAGCAAAGCGCCGCCCCGCAACGGCGCCGGACGGGGCUCGGAUACUAUUGGCUUCAUUCCUGGCUCGGCGGACAACACGCCCACCAACAGACAAGCCUGCGGCUCCUGCGCCUCCAUCGGGUGGAGCGGCUGUAAGGCCCUUAUCUGUUGCGUGUUGACCUGUGGAUUUUAUGGCAGCCGAGAGCCUUGCCUGCCCGUUAACGAGAGCUCCACAGACAACCCCCCGAAAGCAAGUAUUGAAUCCCAUCCUCCUAAUGGCGUGGCCGGGACCAAAUCCCCCGGUGGCGGCAUCUCUUUCGAGCCCAACAAGUCCGCUAAAGCUGUUAAAUUGUUGCCCACGAGCGACAGCUUCCGCUACCCGGACGUGCGCAUCGCCGGUCGCUCGGUGAGGUAUCCGGUAAUGGCCUCCAAGAGGACUCGAACCUCGGGCCGGGGUGAACCCCAGCGGCCAAUCAGCAACACCAGCCUGUUAUCCCGCGAGGACUACGACUUGGACGACCGGAGCGACGCGGGCACGGAUAUCGACUCGCUCAUCACCAAGAAGCUGCUGGAGCUGUACGCCCUGCAUCAGAUCGACCAGCUGGCCAAGUGCACUUCGGACUCGUCGUUCUCGCGCAAAACCAAUGAGAUCAGCGAGCUCAUCUACAGCAUCGCUCAGGACUACAACCUGGAGGAGCAGGAGGCCGAGUGCAAGCUGGUGCACGGCGUCAUCCGCAUCAGCACCCGCAAGGGCAAGAAGAACAAGCGGGGCAAUCAUUCCGCGGGGCAGCGUCCCAACGGCCGCAGCGACGGCACUCUGCCGGACAGCGGCAACGAGACCAUGACCAACACCUUCGUGAGCAGUGACUUUCCAGAGGUGAAAGUGUCGGAGCAGACGCCGUCAGAUGAGCUGGCCAGGAAGAUGAGACAGCACAGCGGCAGAACGUCGUCCUCCGGCAGCGGCGCGGCCCUCUCGCCCUACCUGCACGACACCGGAACCGACUCGUCCGGCGCGCCGCUCCUCGCGCUCUAGCGACGCGGGCCGCCUUGACGUCUUUUUAUCUUCCCGCCCUCAUUAACCGAAUGCUGUUACACACGACGAGCCAAUACAAUAUUUCCAUUUGAUUCCAGUCAAAUUCCCAUGAGAAGUUCAAACUUCCCCAAUUUUUUAUUUUUGAUUUUUUUUUUUAAAUGCUGCUAAUGUUCUACGUUUUGAUGUAUUUACCUCCAAUGUUGUUUUUAUGAUUUUUUUGUUUUUUUCCUCCUGUGCGCCGGGAUUUGUUACAUGUGUCACGUUGGGGAAAAAGAUGAACGUCUGCACUCCAGCCGGGUUUGGCAGUCAUUGCGUCGGAAUGUAGAAAAUGAUUGUCGCCAGAAGAUUUACACAAGCGAUUGUUCAACUUUUGUCAGGGCUCGGUGGCCUUUAAACGCCACAUUAGCAUGUUUUGGCUAAUGGAUUCAGACAUAUCUCCUUGUAAAUAUUGUUUUUUUUUUCGUUUUUUUUUUGCUGCAUGGGUUGUUAAACCAGUUGUGACAUUUGUAUGCAUUUUUUUUUCAAAGUGGUGAAUGCUGUUUUGGACAAAGUUAAAAAUCUCAUGUUCAAUAAAGAUGUGUAUUUGUAUGUUGUUGACUUUCUAGUCUCUCUGCACGUAUUCGUGUGGUAUUACACACACACACACGAGAGCUGUAAUAAUAUGAAUAUUAAAUGCAGUUUCUUUUCACUUUC